CAAUACCUACGGGGGGCAGCAGUGGGGAAUAUUGCACAAUGGGGGAAACCCUGAAGCAGCGACGCCGCGUGAGCGAAGAAGUAUUUCGGUAUGUAAAGCUCUAUCAGCAGGGAAGAAGAAUGACGGUACCUGAGUAAGAAGCACCGGCUAAAUACGUGCCAGCAGCCGCGGUAAUACGUAUGGUGCAAGCGUUAUCCGGAUUUACUGGGUGUAAAGGGAGCGCAGGCGGUGCGGCAAGGCUGAUGUGAAAG
Molecule: ribosomal RNA, 251 nt
Filed under: uncultured bacterium
Lineage: Bacteria
Description: partial 16S ribosomal RNA
Rfam family: Bacterial small subunit ribosomal RNA
Source: RNAcentral